AACGCUGGCGGCAGGCCUAACACAUGCAAGUCGAAUGGUAACAGGAAACAGCUUGCUGUUUCGCUGACGAGUGGCGGACGGGUGAGUAAUGUCUGGGAAACUGCCUGAUGGAGGGGGAUAACUACUGGAAACGGUAGCUAAUACCGCAUAACGUCGCAAGACCAAAGAGGGGGACCUUCGGGCCUCUUGCCAUCAGAUGUGCCCAGAUGGGAUUAGCUAGUAGGUGGGGUAACGGCUCACCUAGGCGACGAUCCCUAGCUGGUCUGAGAGGAUGACCAGCCACACUGGAACUGAGACACGGUCCAGACUCCUACGGGAGGCAGCAGUGGGGAAUAUUGCACAAUGGGCGCAAGCCUGAUGCAGCCAUGCCGCGUGUAUGAAGAAGGCCUUCGGGUUGUAAAGUACUUUCAGCGGGGAGGAAGGGAGUAAAGUUAAUACCUUUGCUCAUUGACGUUACCCGCAGAAGAAGCACCGGCUAACUCCGUGCCAGCAGCCGCGGUAAUACGGAGGGUGCAAGCGUUAAUCGGAAUUACUGGGCGUAAAGCGCACGCAGGCGGUUUGUUAAGUCAGAUGUGAAAUCCCCGGGCUCAACCUGGGAACUGCAUCUGAUACUGGCAAGCUUGAGUCUCGUAGAGGGGGGUAGAAUUCCAGGUGUAGCGGUGAAAUGCGUAGAGAUCUGGAGGAAUACCGGUGGCGAAGGCGGCCCCCUGGACGAAGACUGACGCUCAGGUGCGAAAGCGUGGGGAGCAAACAGG
Molecule: ribosomal RNA, 755 nt
Filed under: uncultured Pseudomonadota bacterium
Lineage: Bacteria; Pseudomonadati; Pseudomonadota
Description: bacterial SSU rRNA
Rfam family: Bacterial small subunit ribosomal RNA
Source: RNAcentral